ACAGGCAGACGAGGGAGCAGCAGAGGACCUGGUGGAGGAUGCCUGUCCUGAGCUAGCUCUUGCUCUCCCAGUGCCGCCUGU
Molecule: microRNA precursor, 81 nt
Filed under: Callithrix jacchus (white-tufted-ear marmoset)
Lineage: Eukaryota; Metazoa; Chordata; Mammalia; Primates; Cebidae
Description: microRNA cja-mir-9911 precursor
Source: miRBase by way of RNAcentral